GACAGUCAUAUCAUGUUGAAACAUCAGUUUCCAUAUGAUCACCAAAGUUAAGCAAUGUUGAGCCUUAUCAGUACCAAGAUAGGUGACUGCUUGAGAAUACCAGGUGCUGUAAG
Molecule: non-coding RNA, 113 nt
Organism: Acanthosepion pharaonis
Lineage: Eukaryota; Metazoa; Mollusca; Cephalopoda; Sepiida; Sepiidae
Source: the annotation of a GenBank genome assembly